Molecule: ribosomal RNA, 484 nt
Filed under: uncultured bacterium
Lineage: Bacteria
Description: partial 16S ribosomal RNA
Rfam family: Bacterial small subunit ribosomal RNA
Source: RNAcentral
AUUGAACGCUGGCGGCAGGCCUAACACAUGCAAGUCGAGCGGAUGAAGGGAGCUUGCUCCUGGAUUCAGCGGCGGACGGGUGAGUAAUGCCUAGGAAUCUGCCUGGUCGUGGGGGAUAACGUCCGGAAACGGGCGCUAAUACCGCAUCCGUCCUGAGGUAGAAAGUGGGGGAUCUUCGGACCUCACGCUUUCAGAUGAGCCUAGUUCGGAUUAGCUAGUUGGUGGGGUAACGGCUUACCAAGGCGACGAUCCGUAACUGGUCUGAGAGGAUGACCAGUCACACUGGAACUGAGACACGGUCCAGACUCCUACGGUAGGACGCAGUGGGGAAUAUUGGACAAUGGGCGAAAGCCUGAUACAGCCAUGCCGCGUGUGUGAAGAAGGUCUUCGGAUGGUAGAGCACUGUAAGUUGGGGGAAAGGGCAGUAAGUUAAUACCUGGCUGUUUUGACGUUACCAACAGAAGAAGCACCGGCUAACUUCGUG